This 417-nucleotide ribosomal RNA is filed under the name uncultured bacterium. Its description in RNAcentral is "bacterial SSU rRNA". It matches the Rfam family "Bacterial small subunit ribosomal RNA", at positions 769 to 1185 of the family's 1533-position model. The record is from RNAcentral.
UUAACAGGAUUAGAUACCCUGGUAGUCCACGCCGUAAACGAUGUCUACUUGGAGGUUGUGGCCUUGAGCCGUGGCUUUCGGAGCUAACGCGUUAAGUAGACCGCCUGGGGAGUACGGUCGCAAGAUUAAAACUCAAAUGAAUUGACGGGGGCCCGCACAAGCGGUGGAGCAUGUGGUUUAAUUCGAUGCAACGCGAAGAACCUUACCUACUCUUGACAUCCAGAGAACUUUUCAGAGAUGGAUUGGUGCCUUCGGGAACUCUGAGACAGGUGCUGCAUGGCUGUCGUCAGCUCGUGUUGUGAAAUGUUGGGUUAAGUCCCGCAACGAGCGCAACCCUUAUCCUUGUUUGCCAGCGAGUAAUGUCGGGAACUCCAGGGAGACUGCCGGUGAUAAACCGGAGGAAGGUGGGGAUGACGU